This 123-nucleotide small RNA is filed under the name Marmota monax (woodchuck). Lineage: Eukaryota; Metazoa; Chordata; Mammalia; Rodentia; Sciuridae. The record is from RNAcentral.
GCUGGGUGCAGUGGAGCACAUCUGUAAUCCCAAUGGCUUGGGAGGCUGAGGCAGGAGGCUCGAGUUCAAAGCCAGCUUCAGUAAAAGCAAGGUACUAAGCAACUUGCUGAUACCCUGUCUCUA